UAGACUAAGGAGCCAUUUAAGUCCAGUGCUUUCCUUGAGUGGGGGCUGCAUUUUGCCCUUCAUAGUCAGCCACUCUUGGAAAAACAGGGGUCUUUAAGGAGUUACCUAUGUAUCUGUUACUUGUCCUGGAAGCUGGCAGAAGGAAGACAGCACAUUUAGAAGAAAAAUCUCUGGAAAGUAAAGUUGAAGAAAAAUACUUCCAAUCAUUUCUCUUGUGAAGACACAAGGAAAACGAGGGCCUACACACCACUCUCUGCCAGUGUUUGUCCUCUUUCCUAAAAGGAUCUUGAAGACUCAGAGUAGGAGGAAACAAGACAGUUCUUCCAAACUUUACUAUGGUCCUGCUGUGAUUUAAAUAAUAGCCAUUGGUGCCUUUUUAUCCCAGUUCUUUGAAAACCUGCCUAGAUUUUCCUCAAAAUCAGAGUGAGGCUGCUUAUUUGGGAAUAUCUUGCAAGAUGAUGUGAUGCAAUGGCUUCAUGUCUAAAUGAAAAUGAUCACAGGUACUGACAGAGGAACACCCACUGUGUAUAAGUCUAUUGGUGCUGAGAGAACCUGACAAUCAGCUUGUGACUGGCCAAGGCUUGUACCCUAAAUCUUACCCUUGGAAACACCUUGAAGGAUCUGAGAACAGCAGGAUUUGGACAGGAUGCACCCCCUGGCCUUCCCCCUCUUCCUAGACCAGAAAGCUGCACGGCUCACCUGUCA
Oryctolagus cuniculus (rabbit) is the source of this 705-nucleotide non-coding RNA. The record is from RefSeq and is a predicted model, not a curated record. NCBI's taxonomy places the organism in Eukaryota, Metazoa, Chordata, Mammalia, Lagomorpha, Leporidae.